Erigeron canadensis is the source of this 515-nucleotide long non-coding RNA. RefSeq lists it as uncharacterized. The transcript has 2 exons. The record is from RefSeq and is a predicted model, not a curated record. NCBI's taxonomy places the organism in Eukaryota, Viridiplantae, Streptophyta, Magnoliopsida, Asterales, Asteraceae.
UAAUAUGUCCAUCCGUUCAAAUCUCUAGGAACCUCUUCGGCUCUUCCCAUCAUCCACAGAUCCACUCAUAAUUCCAUAUAUUUUCCUUUUCUUUUCCUUCCCAGACAGCAGGUUUUAAUUCAGUUUCAUGUUGGUGCUUACUUCUUGUGUCACGGUGCAUCACUUUGUAUGAGGAUGCAAACUAUUUGGAAGAUGGUCAUCAAAGUGAAUCUAGGUGCAUCAGUUUUCAGAUAAUAUGUCAUUAAAGUGAAUCUUGGUGCAUCGGUUUUUUGCUAAUAUAUGAUUGAAGUUAAUCAUGUUGGAGGUUGAAGAUGAGCCAUCAAAGUGAAUCAUUGUGCAUCAAUGCAUUAGUUUCAGAAUUUUGAUAAUAUGUCAAAAAAGUUAAUGAAGCCGGAGGUUGAAGAUGGAUUAUCAAAGUAAAUAAAAGUAUAUCAACAUGCAUCAGAUGUCUUGCUUUUUUUUUGUGCAUCAACGAUUUGAUAAUUUACGGUUGUGCAUCACCAUUUUCGUUGAUA